AUUGAACGCUGGCGGCAUGCCUUACACAUGCAAGUCGAACGGUAACAGGUCUUCGGAUGCUGACGAGUGGCGAACGGGUGAGUAAUGCAUCGGAACGUGCACAGUAGUGGGGGAUAGCCCGGCGAAAGCCGGAUUAAUACAGCAUACGACCUGAGGGUGAAAGGGGGGGAUCGCAAGACCUACCGCUAUUGGAGCGGGCGAUGUCAGAUUAUCUAGUGGGUGGGGUAAAGGCGUACCAAGUCAACGAUCUGUAGUUGGUCUGCGAGGACGACCAGCCACACUGGGACUGAGACACGCCCCAGACUCCUACGGGAGGCAGCAGUGGGGAAUUUUGGACAAUGGGCGCAAGCCUGAUCCAGCAAUGCCGCGUGCAGGAAGAAGGCCUUCGGGUUGUAAACUGCUUUUGUCAGGGAAGAAAUCUUCUGGGUUAAUACCUCGGGAGGAUGACGGUACCUGAAGAAUAAGCACCGGCUAACUACGUGCCAGCCGCCGCAGUAA
RNAcentral lists this ribosomal RNA (498 nucleotides) under uncultured bacterium. RNAcentral's name for it is "partial 16S ribosomal RNA". It matches the Rfam family "Bacterial small subunit ribosomal RNA", at positions 30 to 523 of the family's 1533-position model. The record is from RNAcentral.